GGUGCAGCAGCUGGGAAUUUUCUGCAACGUACGAAGGUAUGACAGAAAGAGUCAGAGUGCUUUUCAUAAGAAAAGCUUGUCCCAAAUGUAAAAAGUUUGGUGAAUAAGGACCGGGUCAGACGAGUGCCCGCCGCCGCGGUUAUACUCGCGGUCCAAGUUGCAGCCAUCAUUAUUGGGUCUAAAACAUCCGUAGCUUGGGUAAUAAGUUUCUUGUGAAAUUCCAUGUCUCAAAUAUGGAGCGGGCAAGAAGUACUGUUAAACUAGAGACUGGAAGACGUAAGAAGUACGUUUGGAGUAGCGGUAAAAUGUGUUAAUCCCAGGGGGACUAACAACAGCGAAGGCGUCUUACGAGGACAGUUCUGACAGUAAGGGAUGAAAGCUAGGGGAGCAAAAGGGAUUAGAUACCCGGGUAGUCCCAGCAGUAAACAAUGCACAUUAAACGUUAGUACGUCCUCGAGAGGUGUUAGUGCUGAAGAGAAGUCGAAGAGUGUGCUACCUGGGAAGUAUAGUCGCAAGGCUGAAACUUAAAGGAAUUGGCGGGGAGACACCACAACGGGUGACGCGUGCGGUUCAAUUAGAUUCUACAGCCG
RNAcentral lists this ribosomal RNA (590 nucleotides) under uncultured archaeon. Its description in RNAcentral is "bacterial SSU rRNA". It matches the Rfam family "Archaeal small subunit ribosomal RNA", at positions 329 to 920 of the family's 1478-position model. The record is from RNAcentral.